RNAcentral lists this ribosomal RNA (547 nucleotides) under uncultured bacterium. RNAcentral's name for it is "bacterial SSU rRNA". It matches the Rfam family "Bacterial small subunit ribosomal RNA", at positions 776 to 1315 of the family's 1533-position model. The record is from RNAcentral.
AAAUAGAUACCCGGGUAGUCCACGCCGUAAACGACUGAGUGCUAGGUGUUACGGGGGGUCCAACCCCUUAGUGCGUGAAGUUAACACAUUAAGCACUCCGCCUGGGGAGUACGACCGCAAGGUUGAAACUCAAAGGAAUUGACGGGGGCCCGCACAAGCAGUGGAGCAUGUGGUUUAAUUCGAAGCAACGCGAAGAACCUUACCAGGUCUUGACAUCCUCUGACAACCCUAGAGAUAGGGCGUUCCCCUUCGGGGGACAGAGUGACAGGUGGUGCAUGGUUGUCGUCAGCUCGUGUCGUGAGAUGUUGGGUUAAGUCCCGCAACGAGCGCAACCCUUGAUCUUAGUUGCCAGCAUUCAGUUGGGCACUCUAAGGUGACUGCCGGUGACAAACCGGAGGAAGGUGGGGAUGACGUCAAAUCAUCAUGCCUCUUAUGUUCUGGGCUGCACACGUGCUACAAGUGGCCGGUACAAAGGGCUGCGAAGCCGCGAGGUUGAGCCAAUCCCAUAAACGCCGGUCUAAGUUCGGAUUGGAGGCUGCUAACNCGU